CUGUGGUGCAUUGUAGUUGCAUUGCAUGUGUGAGAACAGGUGUGCAAUGCCCCUGCAGUGCAGCCCAG
Molecule: non-coding RNA, 68 nt
Organism: Chelonia mydas (Green sea turtle)
Lineage: Eukaryota; Metazoa; Chordata; Testudines; Cheloniidae
Source: Rfam